This 406-nucleotide ribosomal RNA is filed under the name uncultured Dekkera. Its description in RNAcentral is "eukaryotic LSU rRNA". It matches the Rfam family "Eukaryotic large subunit ribosomal RNA", at positions 132 to 541 of the family's 3401-position model. The record is from RNAcentral. Lineage: Eukaryota; Fungi; Ascomycota; Saccharomycetes; Saccharomycetales; Saccharomycetaceae.
GGGCAACCGAGUUGUAAUUUGGAGACGGGACACUAGAGAGGAGGAAGGCGAUUAAGUGCCUUGGAACAGGCUGCCGUAGAGGGUGAGAGCCCCGUGAAUCGCUGGAGACCGAUCAAUUAGUGCCCGCCGAAGAGUCGAGUUGUUUGGGAAUGCAGCUCUAAGCGGGUGGUAUAUUCCAUCUAAGGCUAAAUAUUAGCGAGAGACCGAUAGCAAACAAGUACAGUGAUGGAAAGAUGAAAAGAACUUUGGAAAGAGAGUGAAAUAGUACGUGAAAUUGUUGAAAGGGAAGGGUAUUUGAUCCGACAUGGUGUUUAGCAGCGGCCCGUUCCUCGUGGAUGGGUGCACCUGGUUUACACUGGGCCAGCAUCGGUUCUGGGAGCCAUAUACGGGGUUCGUGAAUGUGGCC